AAUAGUGUAGGACAAAGAGCCUAGGG
RNAcentral lists this non-coding RNA (26 nucleotides) under Cricetulus griseus (Chinese hamster). Lineage: Eukaryota; Metazoa; Chordata; Mammalia; Rodentia; Cricetidae. The record is from RNAcentral.